Molecule: long non-coding RNA, 367 nt
Organism: Xiphophorus couchianus (Monterrey platyfish)
Lineage: Eukaryota; Metazoa; Chordata; Actinopteri; Cyprinodontiformes; Poeciliidae
Exons: 3
Source: RefSeq, a predicted model, not a curated record
AGGCUCCAACAAUUCAGCGUCACAACGGGGAAGAGUCUCCCAAUUAGCGCUGAUGCCAAAGCCUCUCCAUUGACAACCCCCUAUCCCGUCUUCCUGCACACAGCAAUGCCUCAGUGCAUCUGAGCCGUCCCCCCUCCAGUCUGCUCUGCGUUGCAUUGUCUGUGGCUCCAUCUGGAAUGUGGCGGCUGCACAGCUGAGGCUAACGCUCAGGGGUCAUCCCAUGUAUGGACUGCACUUUAUGUAGUUGAGAAAACAAUGCUGCUGCAGACAGAAAAGGAGCAGAUUCCAGCACAAAAAGGAUUUUUAAAUUAUGGGAUUUAAAUGAAAAAGAGAAUAGGAAAAAGGAAUAGCCUUUCACAUAACGGAG